UACGAAGGGGGCUAGCGUUGUUCGGAAUUACUGGGCGUAAAGGGCGCGUAGGCUGUGCUGUAAGUCAGGCGUGAAAUCCCCGGGCUCAACCUGGGAAUUGCGCAUGAUACUGCGGCGCUUGAAGACGGGAGAGGAUGGCGGAAUUCCCAGUGUAGCGGUGGAAUGCGUAGAGAUCGGGAAGAACACCAGUGGCGAAGGCGGCUCGCUGGGCCAAUGCUGACGCUGAUGCGCGAAAGCGUGGGGAGCAAACAGG
Molecule: ribosomal RNA, 253 nt
Filed under: uncultured bacterium
Lineage: Bacteria
Description: partial 16S ribosomal RNA
Rfam family: Bacterial small subunit ribosomal RNA
Source: RNAcentral